Molecule: long non-coding RNA, 2480 nt
Filed under: Homo sapiens (human)
Lineage: Eukaryota; Metazoa; Chordata; Mammalia; Primates; Hominidae
Description: HSALNT0314505
Source: RNAcentral
GUGGGUCAGCUGGGGUGUCUCCGCUCCUCGUGUCUCUUAUCCUCCUUGGACCUAGCCAGGAAUGCUCUCAUGGGAAUGGCAGAGGCAAAGAUGGUUGGGAGAAGAACAAUCACCAAAAAUGCAGAGUGGGGAGCGGGCCUGAGUGUUGGACCUCUCCUUAAACAAACCUUCCUGCAGCCUCCAGGUCACCAUCCUUGUCACCUCUACUGCCAGAGACAUCGAGUGCCUUGAAGUCCUGGGCUUUCCGGGGAUUCUGUGGGGUAUUUCCAGUGAAGUCCCACUCUCCUCAACCCUCAGAGGAUCUCUGGAAGGCCACACAGAACCUGGGACAGGAACCAAGGCACAGGGAUGGGAUGGAGACUCACAAUUCACUGUUAACAUUUUGAUUCUCAUUUGAAUUUUUAACACACGCAUCUAUCACUUAAAUUAAUAGUAAUGAAAUUUUAUUGCACUCUUCUUACCAAGUGCCAGGCAUUGUGCUAAGUACUUGACCAACGUUAUUCCAUUCAGUCCCAUGAAAUAGGCAAUAAUCUUAAUUCCCAUUGUUUCAUAUAGAUAUAAAGAGGGUAAGUCACAUGCCCAAGAUCAUGUAGUUAAACAUUAGCCGAGCUGGUAAUUGAACCCAGGCUGUCUGCCUCAAAUGCCCAUAGUCCUUGCCACUGCACUCUUGCCUUUUCUGCACAGAAGAUAUCUUGAAAGGGUUAUCUACACUUGCUGUCUCCACUUAUUGUCCACUCACUUCAUACAUAAGCACAAGCUGGCCUCUACCCUGAUUAAUCCAUGAACUGGGUUCUCUCCAGGGUCAAAAAUGACCUUGUCAUUAAGUCAAUUGCACAUUUCUCAGUUUGUCUUUUGCUUGACUGCUGGGAGCUAUUAGACUCUUUUGGCCACAUAUUCUUCUUGGAAUAUGAUGCAACUUUGGAUUCUCUGCAAUCACACCUUCUGGAUCAUCCACCUCUGUCUCUAUCACCUUUGCAAACUCUUCUCCUCUUCACGAUGAUCUCUCCUAGGCCUGCUUAUCCUUCCAGUCUACAUCCCCUGAGCAAUUGAAUUCACUCCCAUGAUUUCAGUGAUAAUAAAUGGCCGACGGCUUCCAAACCUUCGUCUCCAUCUUGAGCAUCCUACUGCAUCUUCCAUUGGCAAUCAGGCCUCUCCACUUAGCUGUUCCAAGGAGAACUCAGAAAGCCUUGAAUGAAUUGGACAUCAUGCUUCUGCCCAUCACCAUCAAAACCUCCCCUUCUUCCUUCAUGUUUCACAAUUCAGAAAAGCUCCACCCAGUAAAAUAAAUCAGAAAUCUGAGAGUUAGCAUUUUUGGAGGUGGGCCAGGCAGAGUGGGCCGAUAGGCAAAUGCAUGCACCACCUGCAGGGGGCAGCCUCCCCCCAGCCUCAGUGCAGGCUGCUGCCCGCCCAGAUGGAAGCCCAUAUUGCCAGACCUUUGGCCUUUUACACAACCAGCAUUGCUAUGUGAAAUGCCCUGAUUUUCAGAAAUUGGCUACUAAUUCAACCAAAUAUCAAUAAAGCACUGUGCAGGUCAAAUCUCCUGCUGACCAGGUGCAGUAUGCAGGCUGCCAGGUCACACCUCUACCUGCCCACUCUCCUGGGUCAGCACACUCUCCCCCACAGCUGCAAGGGCCAUUUCCGGCCAACACCCACAUCUCUGUCUCCGGUCUGACCUUCUUCUUCAGCUCUAGAUCCUCAAAUCCAUCUGCCCCUGCAGGCACCUCAUGCUCAACCCAUCAUCCAACACUAACAGUCCAGUGUAACCAUAUCCCUCUGCUCUUUGAGAAAAGCUAGGAAUCUGGAUUUGCAUGUGAAAUCACCAAUUUUUAAAACUCACAUUAAAAAAACCAUUUCAGAUAUAGAAAUACUUUUUAAUGGGUCAGACUUAACAUGAAGGCCCCCAAGCUGCCACCCCUGACUUAAUACAAGCUGACUAGCCACCAGGCACCAUGCUGAUGUUCAGUCCAUCUUAACCAAGGCCCUAGAGGGGGUAUUCCUAUCCACAUUCCCCUGUUUCAGGUGAGGAGGCAGGCUUAGCAAAAUAGAGUAACUCACCAGGAAGUAGCACCACUAGUCAGUGGAGCUUGCUUCUGAGGCUUAGGUAUUUUUGCCCAACUUUAUUUCCCCUUAAGUUUGAUAGUACAGUCUUGCUUUUCCUCUAUCAUUCAUUUUCAGUACCAUUUCCAUUCCCAACCUCCACUCCUUUCCCAUUAGAAGUGGUUUAUAAUUGAAGUAUACAACCACCCAAAUUCUUGUGCAAUAUCACAUACACUAAAACUGCUAAUAAGAGAAACUCUUGGUCUUCUUACUAUCUCCCGGCUUGCUCUUUCUCCUUUUCUCUUCACAGGUAUUUCCAGUAUGUUCUACUCUCCUCAAACCUCAGAGCAUCUCUGAAGGCCACACAAGAACAUUUGUGUUUUAGCCCAUUCUCAUGCUGCUAUAAAGAAAUACCUGAGACUGGGUAAUUUAUAAAGAAAAAA